This 415-nucleotide ribosomal RNA is filed under the name uncultured bacterium. RNAcentral describes it as "bacterial SSU rRNA". It matches the Rfam family "Bacterial small subunit ribosomal RNA", at positions 86 to 518 of the family's 1533-position model. The record is from RNAcentral.
CUCGAGCGAGUGGCGGACGGGUGAGUAACGCGUGGGUAACCUGCCUUACAGAGGGGAUAACAGUCUGAAAAGACUGCUAAUACCGCAUAAGCACACAGUACCGCAUGGUACAGGGUGAAAAGAUUUAUCACUGUAAGAUGGACCCGCGUCUGAUUAGGCCAGUUGGCAGGGUAACGGCCUACCAAAGCGACGAUCAGUAGCCGACCUGAGAGGGUGAUCGGCCACAUUGGGACUGAGACACGGCCCAAACUCCUACGGGAGGCAGCAGUGGGGGAUAUUGCACAAUGGAGGAAACUCUGAUGCAGCCGACGCCGCGUGAGUGAAGAAGUAUUUCGGUAUGUAAAGCUCUAUCAGCAGGGAAGAUAAUGACAGUACCUGACCAAGAAGCCCCGGCUAACUACGUGCCAGCCGCCGC